CUUUCAACAACGGAUCUCUUGGUUCCAGCAUAGAYGAAGAACGCAGCGAAAUACUAUAAGUAAYGUGAAUUGCAGAAUUCAGUGAAUCAUCGAAUCUUYGAACGCACAUUGCGCCCCUCGGUAUUCCGGGGGGCAUGCCU
RNAcentral lists this ribosomal RNA (140 nucleotides) under Lecanora atra var. torulosa. Its description in RNAcentral is "Tephromela atra var. torulosa 5.8S ribosomal RNA". It matches the Rfam family "5.8S ribosomal RNA". From Rfam's summary of the family: 5.8S ribosomal RNA (5.8S rRNA) is a component of the large subunit of the eukaryotic ribosome. It is transcribed by RNA polymerase I as part of the 45S precursor that also contains 18S and 28S rRNA. Lineage: Eukaryota; Fungi; Ascomycota; Lecanoromycetes; Lecanorales; Lecanoraceae. The record is from RNAcentral.